AUUGAACGCUGGCGGCAUGCCUUACACAUGCAAGUCGAACGGCAGCGCGGGGCAACCUGGCGGCGAGUGGCGAACGGGUGAGUAAUAUAUCGGAACAUGCCCAGAAGUGGGGAUAACGUAGCGAAAGUUACGCUAAUACCGCAUACGAUCUACGGAUGAAAGUGGGGGACCGCAAGGCCUCAUGCUUUUGGAGUGGCCGAUAUCUGAUUAGCUAGUUGGUGGGGUAAAGGCCUACCAAGGCGACGAUCAGUAGCUGGUCUGAGAGGACGACCAGCCACACUGGAACUGAGACACGGUCCAGACUCCUACGGGAGGCAGCAGUGGGGAAUUUUGGACAAUGGGGGGCAACCCUGAUCCAGCAAUGCCGCGUGUGUGAAGAAGGCCU
Molecule: ribosomal RNA, 385 nt
Filed under: uncultured bacterium
Lineage: Bacteria
Description: bacterial SSU rRNA
Rfam family: Bacterial small subunit ribosomal RNA
Source: RNAcentral